UUAAUUGAAGCUAAAGUUAAGCAUAUUAUUGUUAAUAAUAUAUUUGAAUAAAUAAAUUAUUCCAAUUAAA
This 70-nucleotide transfer RNA is filed under the name Strongylogaster xanthocera. RNAcentral's name for it is "tRNA-Asn". The record is from RNAcentral. Lineage: Eukaryota; Metazoa; Arthropoda; Insecta; Hymenoptera; Tenthredinidae.